This 253-nucleotide ribosomal RNA is filed under the name uncultured bacterium. Its description in RNAcentral is "partial 16S ribosomal RNA". It matches the Rfam family "Bacterial small subunit ribosomal RNA", at positions 524 to 776 of the family's 1533-position model. The record is from RNAcentral.
UACGUAGGGGGCAAGCGUUGUCCGGAAUCAUUGGGCGUAAAGAGCGCGUAGGCGGUCCGGUAAGUCCGCUCUGAAAGUCCGGGGCUCAACCCCGGGAGGCGGGCGGAUACUGUCGGGCUAGAGUCCGGAAGAGGCGAGUGGAAUUCCUGGUGUAGCGGUGAAAUGCGCAGAUAUCAGGAGGAACACCAAUGGCGAAGGCGGGUCUCUGGGCCGAUACUGACGCUGAGGAGCGAAAGCGUGGGGAGCGAACAGG